UGUUUCUCAGAUCUGGGAUGCUGUCCUGAAAAACGAAGGACAGUUUUUCAGGACAGCACAGUACAGUAAAGCAUGCGCUUUAAGAUCAGAACUAAGUUGAGUUGUUAUUGUCAGGCCUCUGAAGAACAUAAUGACCAGCAGCUUCACUCCAUAUCAGAGGCGUUGGAUCCAUCUGAAUCCUGAUGACACAGGACUGUGAACUCAAGAACCUUAAUCUGAGACAGCUCACUCACAGAGGAACCAAAUCUGGAUUGAAAUACAUCUCAGUGUUCAGCAGAGGUUUCAGUCAAAACAAUCACUGGCAUUGUUUACCUGGACCGUCACCGGGAUUCUGUCGGUGCUGAUUGUGGCUCAGUACGCCCCACUCUCUUCAACAAGGUCGGGUUUUUUUUCUCCCCCUGUUGGAUCAGAUCCUCAUCUGGAUCGAAAGAUGGCGAGCUAGGAAUGGACUAUGGACUUUAUGAUUUGGAAAUCAAUUUAUUCUGAGUCAA
This is a long non-coding RNA of Xiphophorus maculatus (southern platyfish), 491 nucleotides long. RefSeq lists it as uncharacterized. Lineage: Eukaryota; Metazoa; Chordata; Actinopteri; Cyprinodontiformes; Poeciliidae. The record is from RefSeq and is a predicted model, not a curated record. The transcript is spliced from 4 exons.